Molecule: long non-coding RNA, 229 nt
Filed under: Olea europaea (common olive)
Lineage: Eukaryota; Viridiplantae; Streptophyta; Magnoliopsida; Lamiales; Oleaceae
Description: long non-coding RNA (OEUR_LNC013123)
Source: RNAcentral
UAUGCCAUUUACUUUAAAUAUCACGAUAAAGAAGCAUCAUAAUCUAAUAUUCAUCAAAGUCGACUCGAAGUCAUUUCAUUAGGCCCUUGACCCACCUACUAUGCACCGGAUAGAGCUCUGUAUAAUAUCAAUAAUCAAAUAGACAAUAUGAAGUCGACAUCGGCGAGUGGACCAUCCUCUUGUGACCACUAGAGGCCCAUCCCCUAACUACUUCUAUGAUCCCCUAAGA